This 240-nucleotide unclassified non-coding RNA is filed under the name soil metagenome. RNAcentral describes it as "partial contains 5.8S ribosomal RNA, internal transcribed spacer 2, and large subunit ribosomal RNA". The record is from RNAcentral.
AACAUCGCGCACCUGCGGGAACCUGCGGAAGGAUCAUUACUGAGUGUAAAAACUCCCAAACCCAUUGUGAACAUACCACUGUUGCUUCGGCGGAUACGCCCCGGGCGCGCUCUUCACAGGGCGUGCCCCGGAACCAGGCGCCCGCCGGGGGACCGAAACUCUUGUUUUCUUAGGAUCUCUGAGUGUGAUUAUUAAAUAAAUCAAAACUUUCAACAACGGAUCUCAGAUCGGAAGAGCACA